UCCUGGGAAAGAUCAGUUGGUAGAGCAUGAGACUCCAUCUCUGGGUCAUGGGUUUGAGCCCCAUUUUGGGCA
This is a non-coding RNA of Podarcis lilfordi (Lilford's wall lizard), 72 nucleotides long. NCBI's taxonomy places the organism in Eukaryota, Metazoa, Chordata, Lepidosauria, Squamata, Lacertidae. The record is from the annotation of a GenBank genome assembly.